UAGUAUCGGAACGUGCCCAGUCGUGGGGGAUAACUGCUCGAAAGAGCAGCUAAUACCGCAUACGACCUGAGGGUGAAAGCGGGGGAUCGCAAGACCUCGCGCGAUUGGAACGGCCGAUAUCAGAUUAGGUAGUUGGUGAGGUAAAGGCUCACCAAGCCGACGAUCUGUAGCUGGUCUGAGAGGACGACCAGCCACACUGGGACUGAGACACGGCCCAG
This 218-nucleotide ribosomal RNA is filed under the name uncultured bacterium. Its description in RNAcentral is "partial 16S ribosomal RNA". It matches the Rfam family "Bacterial small subunit ribosomal RNA", at positions 113 to 334 of the family's 1533-position model. The record is from RNAcentral.